CUGCUGGCUACGAUGUCAGUGACGGUUACGGGGGAUUAGGGUUCGAUUCCGGAGAGGRAGCCUGAGAAACGGCUACCACAUCUAAGGAAGGCAGCAGGCGCGCAAAUUACCCAAUUCUAACAGCAUAAGAGAGGUAGUGACAAGAAAUAACAAUACAAGGCAGUUAAAAUGCUUUGUAAUUGGAAUGAUAGAAAUUUAAACACUUUUUAAAGUAUCAAUUGGAGGGCAAGUCUGGUGCCAGCAGCCGCGGUAAUUCCAGCUCCAAUAGCGUAUAUWAAAAUUGUUGCAGUUAAAAAGCUCGUAGUUGAAUUUCUGUUAAAAAUAACCGGUCUGCUUUUAACAAAAGUGGUAUCUUGGUGUGUUUUUAGCAAUAAUGUCCUUUGAAAUGUGUUUUACUUUGUUGUAAAAGACAAUAUUCAGGAUUUUUACUUUGAGAAAAUUAGAGUGUUUCUAGCAAGCUAAUGUUUUGAAUACUGCAGCAUGGAAUAAUAAAAUAGAAUUUUAGUUCUACAUUGUUGGUUUUAAGAGCUGAAUUAAUGAUUGAUAGGGACAGUUGGGGGCAUUUGUAUUUAACUGUCAGAGGUGAAAUUCUUAGAUUUGAUCGAUG
This 607-nucleotide ribosomal RNA is filed under the name Hepatozoon sp. RNAcentral describes it as "SSU rRNA". Lineage: Eukaryota; Apicomplexa; Hepatozoidae. The record is from RNAcentral.